GAUGAACGCUGGCGGCGUGCUUAACACAUGCAAGUCGAACGAUGACGCCCAGCUUGCUGGGUGUAUUAGUGGCGAACGGGUGAGUAACACGUGAGUAACCUGCCCUUUACUCUUGGAUAAGCCUGGAAAACUGGGUCUAAUACCUGAUAGGAGCGUCCACCGCAUGGUGGGUGUUGGGAAGAUUUAUCGGUUUUGGAUGGACUCGCGGCCUAUCAGCUUUUUGGUGAGGUAAUGGAUCACCACGGCGACGACGGUUAGCCGGCCUGGGAGGGUGACCGGCCACACUGGGAUUGAGAAACGGCCAAGACGCAUACGGGAGGCAGCAGUGGGGAAUAGUGCAAAAUGGGCGAAAGCGUGAUGCAGCGACGCCGCGUGAGGGAUGACGGCUGUCGGGUUGUAAACGCAUUUCAGUAGGGAAGAAGCGAAAGUGACGGUACCUGCAGAAGAAGAACGGCCUAACUACGU
RNAcentral lists this ribosomal RNA (465 nucleotides) under uncultured bacterium. RNAcentral's name for it is "partial 16S ribosomal RNA". It matches the Rfam family "Bacterial small subunit ribosomal RNA", at positions 28 to 506 of the family's 1533-position model. The record is from RNAcentral.